This 468-nucleotide ribosomal RNA is filed under the name uncultured bacterium. Its description in RNAcentral is "partial 16S ribosomal RNA". It matches the Rfam family "Bacterial small subunit ribosomal RNA", at positions 28 to 507 of the family's 1533-position model. The record is from RNAcentral.
GACGAACGCUGGCGGCGUGCUUAACACAUGCAAGUCGAACGGAAAGGCCCUGCUUUUGUGGGGUGCUCGAGUGGCGAACGGGUGAGUAACACGUGAGUAACCUGCCCUUGACUUUGGGAUAACUUCAGGAAACUGGGGCUAAUACCGGAUAGGAGCUCCUGCUGCAUGGUGGGGGUUGGAAAGUUUCGGCGGUUGGGGAUGGACUCGCGGCUUAUCAGCUUGUUGGUGGGGUAGUGGCUUACCAAGGCUUUGACGGGUAGCCGGCCUGAGAGGGUGACCGGCAAGAGUGGGAGUGAGCGACAGCAGGGACGGAGACGGGAGGCAGCAGCGGGGGAUGUAGCACAGUGGGCGGCGGCGUGAUGCAGGAGCGCGGCGUGCGGGAGGCCGGAAUUAGGUUUGUAAACAGAGUACGCCUGUGACGAAGAGUGAGUGACGGUAAGGGAAAAAGAAGCACAGGCUAACUACGUA